CUUAAAAAUGCAUUUCAUGGCGAGGUACAGAAAAUAUACUGUAAACAGUAGACUAUAGAUAUAGGUGAACUAGGUACAAGAGAACUCUAAAUCUUAAAUACUACAAACCACCUCUGUUCUAUGAAAGAUAAUGAUAUAACUGGACUAGAAAUACACACAACCUGUAAUUAACUGCCUUUACAGCGCUUUCGCGCUUUGAUUUUUUCAAG
RNAcentral lists this long non-coding RNA (209 nucleotides) under Mytilus galloprovincialis (Mediterranean mussel). The record is from RNAcentral. Lineage: Eukaryota; Metazoa; Mollusca; Bivalvia; Mytilida; Mytilidae.